Molecule: ribosomal RNA, 251 nt
Filed under: uncultured bacterium
Lineage: Bacteria
Description: partial 16S ribosomal RNA
Rfam family: Bacterial small subunit ribosomal RNA
Source: RNAcentral
CGGAGGGCUAGCGUUGUUCGGAAUUACUGGGCGUAAAGCGUACGUAGGCGGCUUUGUAAGUUAGAGGUGAAAGCCCGGGCUCAACUCCGGAAUUGCCUUUAAGACUGCAUCGCUUGAUCACGGGAGAGGUGAGUGGAAUUCCGAGUGUAGAGGUGAAAUUCGUAGAUAUUCGGAAGAACACCAGUGGCGAAGGCGGCUCACUGGACCGUAGAUGACGCUGAGGUACGAAAGCGUGGGGAGCAAACAGGAUU